This 464-nucleotide ribosomal RNA is filed under the name uncultured bacterium. RNAcentral describes it as "bacterial SSU rRNA". It matches the Rfam family "Bacterial small subunit ribosomal RNA", at positions 28 to 507 of the family's 1533-position model. The record is from RNAcentral.
GACGAACGCUGGCGGCGCGCCUAACACAUGCAAGUCGAACGAGCGAGAGAGAGCUUGCUUUCUCGAGCGAGUGGCGAACGGGUGAGUAACGCGUGAGGAACCUGCCUCAAAGAGGGGACAACAGUUGGAAACGACUGCUAAUACCGCAUAAGCCCACGACCCGGCAUCGGUAGAGGGAAAGGAGCAAUCCGCUUUGAGAUGGCCUCGCGUCCGAUUAGCUAGUUGGUGAGGUAAUGGCCCACCAAGGCGACGAUCGGUAGCCGGACUGAGAGGUUGAACGGCCACAUUGGGACUGAGACACGGCCCAGACUCCUACGGGAGGCAGCAGUGGGGAAUAUUGCACAAUGGGGGAAACCCGUGAUGCAGCGACGCCGCGUGGAGGAAGAAGGUCUUCGGAUUGUAAACUCCUGUUGUUGAGGAAGAUAAUGACGGUACUCAACAAGGAAGUGACGGCUAACUACGUG